RNAcentral lists this ribosomal RNA (943 nucleotides) under uncultured Streptococcus sp. Its description in RNAcentral is "bacterial SSU rRNA". It matches the Rfam family "Bacterial small subunit ribosomal RNA". Lineage: Bacteria; Bacillati; Bacillota; Bacilli; Lactobacillales; Streptococcaceae. The record is from RNAcentral.
GAUGAACGCUAGCGAUAGGCUUAACACAUGCAAGUCGAGGGGCAGCAUUAUUUUAGCUUGCUAAGAUAGAUGGCGACCGGCGCACGGGUGCGUAACGCGUAUGCAACCUGCCUGUAAUUAGGGAAUAACCCGGUGAAAGUCGGACUAAUACCCUAUAUUCUUCUUUCUCUGCAUGGGGGAGGACGGAAAGAUUUAUUGAUUACAGAUGGGCAUGCGUCCCAUUAGCUAGUUGGUAAGGUAACGGCUUACCAAGGCAACGAUGGGUAGGGGGACUGAGAGGUUGACCCCCCACACUGGUACUGAGACACGGACCAGACUCCUACGGGAGGCAGCAGUGAGGAAUAUUGGUCAAUGGGCGAGAGCCUGAACCAGCCAAGUCGCGUGAAGGAGGACGGUUCUAUGGAUUGUAAACUUCUUUUGUAGAGGAAUAAUGGCAGCUACGUGUAGCUGAGAUGCAUGUACUCUACGAAUAAGUAUCGGCUAACUCCGUGCCAGCAGCCGCGGUAAUACGGAGGAUACGAGCGUUAUCCGGAAUUAUUGGGUUUAAAGGGUGCGUAGGUGGCGUAUUAAGUCAGUGGUGAAAAGCUGCAGCUCAACUGUAGUCUUGCCGUUGAAACUGAUAUGCUAGAGAGGAGACGAGGUAUGCGGAAUGUGUGGUGUAGCGGUGAAAUGCAUAGAUAUCACACAGAACGCCGAUUGCGAAGGCAGCGUACCAGUGCUCCGUCUGACACUGUAGCACGAAAGCGUGUGGAUCAAAACAGGAUUAAAUACCCCUGGGUAGUCCAAGGGCGAAUUCCACAGUGGAUAUCAGCUUAUCGAUACCGUCGACCUCGAGGGGGGAAACAGAGUACCCAUCUUUUGUUCCCUUUAAUGUGGGUUUAAUAAUGGUGUUUCUCUUUCUCCGUCUUGUUUGGUGAUUGUGAUGUUUUCUUUGUCUCCUCUG